RNAcentral lists this long non-coding RNA (1130 nucleotides) under Numida meleagris (helmeted guineafowl). RNAcentral's name for it is "lncRNA (ENSNMEG00000004564.1)". The record is from RNAcentral. Lineage: Eukaryota; Metazoa; Chordata; Aves; Galliformes; Numididae.
GCAGCCCCGAGCGGAGGAAGCCCCAGGGGAGGGAGCAGCCUGGCUGGCGAAAGGCUGCGCCGGGAGGCGCGGCCCGCUCCCCUCAGGCAACUCUUGCUCUUUCCCGCCCGUCUCGUGAGGGCCGGGGCUCCCAGCGCCCUGAGGGACGCGGUCCCGCUCCUGCCCGCCCGCCCCGCCAGGCACGGGGCUGCCCUCCCGCCUGACGCGAGGGACGGAGCGGGGCCAGCAGCGCUCACGUCGACCCCGUCCUUCCCGCCUCUCCGCUGAGGGACGCGAGCUCCCGGCCGCGGUGUCCCCGUCUCAUCCCUCCGCCAGCCCCUCGCCCGCCGCCGUCAGACCUGGCCCUGCCCCAGCCGAGGGGCUCUCCCCGCAGCACGAGAACGCGGAGCCUCCGCCGGCAGAGUGUGGGUCCGCGCUGCCUUCCAGGGAAGCCUACCAAGGGACACGUUGGGGAAUGGAAAUCCCAUUCCCCGCACGCUGGGCCUCCGGGGCCAAGGCAAACAGUCCCCGGUGAAUCAUGCGGUGUGUCCGCCCCUGCCCGAGCUUGGAGGAGUCCCCUCAGGGAAAAUGCUGCAAUAAGCGGUGGAAUAAGCGAGUCGGGUGCAGGGGGACACCGCUGCUGAGCUGGCCCCGCAGCUUCACCGUCCAGAUGGAGAAAGCAGAGAGUGGCGUUUGUAUCAGUAGUUUUAUGGCCCUAAAAUCACUAAGCCUUGCAACUCCAAGAACCAUGUUGCAUGGAGUGCCAGACAAGUCAGAUGUGGUUUGUGCCUCCCAGUGCCGCUCAAAUGAUGGGCAGACUUGGAAAUCAGCAGAAGUAACUUUGAUUUGACUCCUGAAAGACUGGCCCUACAAUACCUGGACUUGUGACAGCAGUUCCUGGAGGACUUGGUGCCUUAUAGAGAGCAUGAAGAAAUGUGAGUGAGUGUUUGUUCCCAUGGUUGCCAGACCUGAUUCAAGGUAAGAGAAGAGAGUAAGGCAGGUCCUUACAGCCCAGGCUGUUCCUGUACUUGCCAGGCUGUGCAGAGGACCCCGAGUGCUGUUCAAGCUUCUAUAAGGGUAGGCAACGACUGAACAUGUCUAGACACCAGUUUGGGAAUAAAAUAUCUAGAUUUUUUUUUAAAGCUUCUACA